RNAcentral lists this ribosomal RNA (419 nucleotides) under bacterium. RNAcentral's name for it is "partial 16S ribosomal RNA". It matches the Rfam family "Bacterial small subunit ribosomal RNA", at positions 355 to 776 of the family's 1533-position model. The record is from RNAcentral.
UGGGGGAUAUUGCACAAUGGGCGAAAGCCUGAUGCAGCGACGCCGCGUGGGGGAUGAAGGCCUUCGGGUUGUAAACUUCUUUUGCUCUGAACAAGGCGCACCAUGGGGUGUGUUGAGUGUAGGGGUUGAUUAGCGCCGGCUAACUACGUGCCAGCAGCCGCGGUAAUACGUAGGGCGCGAGCGUUGUCCGGAAUUAUUGGGCGUAAAGGGCUUGUAGGUGGCUGGUUGCGUCUGUCGUGAAAGCUCAUGGCUUAACUGUGUGUUUGCGGUGGGUACGGGCUGGCUUGAGUGCAGUAGAGGAGGCUGGAAUUCCUGGUGUAGCGGUGGAAUGCGCAGAUAUCAGGAGGAAUACCGGUGGCGAAGGCGGGUCUCUGGGCUGUUACUGACACUGAGGAGCGAAAGCAUGGGGAGCGAACAGG